RNAcentral lists this long non-coding RNA (381 nucleotides) under Carica papaya (papaya). RNAcentral's name for it is "long non-coding RNA (CPAP_LNC009652)". The record is from RNAcentral. Lineage: Eukaryota; Viridiplantae; Streptophyta; Magnoliopsida; Brassicales; Caricaceae.
AGGUGUGGGUGGGGUUAUUUAUACCCUUUGCCUUUUAAUCUCAAUCGUCCAUCAAGAUUAAAUCUAGACCGUCCAUCGCGAUGCAAUCUGGACAUUCCGUGCCUGAUUGAAUCUGGGCCGUCCCUGCGCACGUUUGAUCUGGGCUGUCCGUAUGCGCGAGAACGAACCUGGGCCGUCCGAUCGCGCGCACGCGGAUCGCCCACGUGGCCCGUCCCCUGGUCAGCGUUUCCUUGCCACGCGGUGCGUCCUGGUUGGUCGGGGCUGCUGACCGGGCUGCUGACGUGGUGAUGAAGUGGUACAAUUUUUCUAAAUUGUAUUUUGACCUCCGGUUUCUAAUUUUCCUUUCAAAAACACCCCCAGAAUCUAAAUUUUCACCCCUUU